This is a long non-coding RNA of Cygnus olor (mute swan), 1159 nucleotides long. RefSeq lists it as uncharacterized. NCBI's taxonomy places the organism in Eukaryota, Metazoa, Chordata, Aves, Anseriformes, Anatidae. The record is from RefSeq and is a predicted model, not a curated record. The transcript has 3 exons.
UGGGCAGGCUCUGGGUGCACACAGAGAUGCAUUCUAGUGUUGCUCUGCAGGAAAAGGACUAUUAGCAAAGUCUCAGUACAUUGGCAGUGUUUCCCUUAUGACUCCAGAACUGUACGUUAAGAUGCAGCUUUAAUGAUCUUGUCCUGCAAUUAUGCCUCUAGAUCACAAGUUUUUUAUUAGACCUUUUAUUUCAGCAUAAUUGGUUAUAAAGCCAUAAAUGUGAUUUUUCCAAGAGAAAUAUUUUGCAGAGAUGGCACUUUGAAUCCUCCCCCCCAAGACAUUGAUCUGUUAUUGAUCUGGGAUGAAAAUACACCACUGAUUUUACACUCAAGUAUUGAUCGAGCGAGGUCAAUUCCAGCAAGAUAUUCGGGGUACUAAAAACGUACGAGUGCACAGCUGGAAUGAGUUAUGGUACUUCCAAGCACACAAAUUCCUUUCCUUAUAAAAUCAUAGUUGAACAGCUUGCUGGAUUGCAGACUACUUGCAGGAGGGGCUUCGGCAGCUCAUGGAUUGAUUACAGGGGAAGGCUGUGAUCCCCAUUUUGCAGAAAAUAACAGAGGAUUUCUUGAAAGCAAUUUGAUGAGAAGCUGGCUGCUUACCCUAGCUCCUGUGGGCCCAGCCAGUCCCGCACAGGCACACCUGUCCAGCAACGCUCUCCAUCCCGACACACGCGCCGACAGUCAGUCUGGUCCCCACGGCACGCCGGGAUUCCCAUCUGUCUGUCUCCAUGGCUACACCGGCAGAGCAAGGAGCAUCCUACAGCACAUCCUACAGCAGCCAGGCCACCAACCCUCCGUGGUCCCUCGCCAAAGGGGACCACAUGCACGGGUGGGUCGGAGAGGGGCACGGCAGCCCCUGCUCGGGCUGAACGAGCCCCGAGCCUCGUGAGCUGCUUUUUGUUGCCCUCACAUGCUGCAAAGCGAGCUCUGCUUACUGACAACCCUGGCAGCUCUCAGGGGCGGCCGGCUCAGCAGCCUCAGCCUCCCACUCCAGCAGGAGCAGCCCCAGACCCGGUUCCUUCUUGCUUUGCACAAGGUCCUCAGGAAUCAUGCACUGCUUUUACCAGGAAAAGAACUUGCCAAAGCCUAAUAACUAGCUCUUCAACAGCAGCACAGCACAGCAAUACGCAGCACAAAAACUGUUCAAAGUCUGUUUUUUU